This 1072-nucleotide ribosomal RNA is filed under the name Trebouxia sp. P0103. Its description in RNAcentral is "LSU rRNA". It matches the Rfam family "Bacterial large subunit ribosomal RNA", at positions 1416 to 2460 of the family's 2925-position model. The record is from RNAcentral. Lineage: Eukaryota; Viridiplantae; Chlorophyta; Trebouxiophyceae; Trebouxiales; Trebouxiaceae. RNAcentral also lists the same sequence under 1 other name.
CGAUGGAAAACAGGUUAAUAUUCCUGUACUGAUUUUUAAGUGGGACCGAGGGACGGAGAAGGGAACGGUUGGUCAAUAUUGGAUGUUGACGGAAACGUUCAAGGUGAUGAGAGAUAGAAUAAAAACUAUUCUUGAGCUGAGGCGUGAUACGGUUUGAUUCCCUGUAUGAGAGCUUUGCUCAAAUUCAAAAUGAAACUCAAUUAGUUGUCAAACUUCCUAGAAAAGCUCGAACUUCCAAUACUUAAAAAUUACCCGUACCCGAAACCGACACAGGUAGGUAGGUAGAGUAUACCAAGGGGCGCGAGAUAACUCUCUCUAAGGAACUCGGCAAAAUGGCCCCGUAACUUCGGGAGAAGGGGUGCCCUCAAUUAAGAGGGCCGCAGUGACCAGGCCCAGGCGACUGUUUACCAAAAACACAGGUCUCCGCUAAGUCGUAAGACAAUAUAUGGGGGCUGACGCCUGCCCAGUGCCGGAAGGUGAAGGAAGUUGGUUACUUGAACAUUUGUUUGAGAAAGCUGACAACCGAAGCCCCGGUGAACGGCGGCCGUAACUAUAACGGUCCUAAGGUAGCGAAAUUCCUUGUCAGGUAAGUUCUGACCCGCACGAAAGGUGUAACGAUCUGGGCACUGUCUCGGAGAGAGGCUCGGUGAAAUAGACAUGUCCGUGAAGAUGCGGACUACCUACACCUGGACAGAAAGACCCUAUGAAGCUUUACUGUAGCCUGGAAUUGAAUUUGGGCUUUUCUUGCGCAGUCUAGGUGGGAGGCGUUGAUAGUUCCUUUCCGGAGGAGCUGGAGCCAUCAGUGAGAGACCACUCUGGAGAAGCUAGAAUUCUAAUGGCGAUCCUUGAAUCAGGACGCUUGACAGUUUCAGGUGGGCAGUUUGACUGGGGCGGUCGUCUCCUAAAAGGUAACGGAGAUGUGCAAAGGUUCCCUCAGGCUGGACGGAAAUCAGCCGAAGAGUGUAAAGGCAUAAGGGAGCUUGACUGCAAGACCUACAAGUCGAGCAGGGGCGAAAGCCGGCCUUAGUGAUCCGACGGUACCGAGUGGAAGGGCCGUCGCUCAACGGAUAAA